Sapajus apella (tufted capuchin) is the source of this 456-nucleotide long non-coding RNA. RefSeq lists it as uncharacterized. The transcript has 4 exons. The record is from RefSeq and is a predicted model, not a curated record. Lineage: Eukaryota; Metazoa; Chordata; Mammalia; Primates; Cebidae.
UGAGGUAUUCUCAGGCAUGUGGAACCGUGAGCCAAUUAAAUCUCUUUUCUUUAUAAAUUGCCCAGUCUCAGGCAUGUCUUUAGAGUAGCAUGAGAAUGGACGAAUGCACCAUGACAAGCCGAUUUCAUUGGUUACCAGAUGCGUUUUUCGCUCUAGCCCCAGACCUGCAUACAUGGCAUAGGUGCUGACAGCAGGUGGCAGUGUGGAGCAGCGGCGUGACACCUGCAGGGCCCUCUGGGGACACCACACAAGGGCAGCCCCAGCGUCUGGGAGCCCGUGAGAUGUGAAGGCCGCAGGUAUCUCUCUAGCCAGCAGACCAGUGGUGGAAUUACAGCCUACUGAAGCAUCUCUGCUGCACUCGUCAGCUUGAUAAAUGUCCGAGGAAUGAACCAAAAACAGGAACCAUCUCUUCCAGCAGCUUCUCACCAUCGUACACCAUCGCACACACUUCCUGGC